This is a non-coding RNA of Rhodocollybia butyracea, 98 nucleotides long. The record is from the annotation of a GenBank genome assembly. Lineage: Eukaryota; Fungi; Basidiomycota; Agaricomycetes; Agaricales; Omphalotaceae.
GCUUCCUUAGCUCAGUCGGUAGAGCGCGAGUCAAGAAUUUGCGGAGCUCAUUGAAGAAGAUAAUCUCGAGGUCGCAAGUUCGAACCUUGCAGGAAGCA